AGAGAGAGACAUGCGCGCAUAUCAAUAAGCGGAGGAAAAGAAACUAACAAGGAUUCCCUUAGUAACGGCGAGUGAAGCGGGAAGAGCUCAAAUUUGAAAUCUUCAAGGUUUUACCUUGACGAAUUGUAGUUUAAAGAAGUGUUUUCUGUUGAAGUUUUGGUAAAAGUUCUUUGGAAUAGGACAUCAUAGAGGGUGAGAAUCCCGUAUUUGACCAUUAUUUUCAGCUGUGUGAUACACUUUCAAAGAGUCGGAUUGUUUGGGAAUGCAGUCCAAAAUGGGUGGUAAAUUUCAUCUAAAGCUAAAUAUUGGCGAGAGACCGAUAGCGAACAAGUACCGUGAGGGAAAGAUGAAAAGAACUUUGAAAAGAGAGUUAAACAGUACGUGAAAUUGUCAAAAGGGAAGCGUUUGACACCAGUGUUGUUUUCUCGAAAAUCAAUUAAAAAAGGCCGGAUUUUGUGUUGUAUUGACCUUAAAAGCUUUCUUCACUCUUUUCUUGUCUUUUUUAAUGCACUUUUCGUUUAACAAGUCAACGUCAGUUUCUUUUGUUGUAAAAGGGUCAUUGGAAGGUGGCUUUCUUUUCGGAGAAAGUGUUUAUAGCCUUUGAUCUCUGCAACCGGAGAGACUGAGGUCUGCAGCGUAGACUCUUCGGGGUUAGAUACAUUUGUGCUAAGCUAUAGCUUUUUAUAGACAACUUGUUGACUAUAUUUAGUCUUGUGGCUUACUCGCUUAUGCUAUUUUACCUACGCUUAGGAUGUUGACAGCAGUAUAGACUGU
RNAcentral lists this ribosomal RNA (774 nucleotides) under uncultured Neocallimastigales. RNAcentral's name for it is "partial large subunit ribosomal RNA". It matches the Rfam family "Eukaryotic large subunit ribosomal RNA", at positions 23 to 632 of the family's 3401-position model. The record is from RNAcentral. Lineage: Eukaryota; Fungi; Neocallimastigomycota; Neocallimastigomycetes; Neocallimastigales.